AAUGAACGCUGGCGGCGUGCCUAACACAUGCAAGUCGCACGAGAAAGCCUGAUUUCGGUUGGGCGAGUAAAGUGGCGCACGGGUGAGUAACGCGUAGACAACCUACCCCUGGGUUGGGGAUAACAGUGCGAAAGCGCUGCUAAUACCGGAUACGACCUUGCUGCGGGAGCAACAAGGUGAAAGUCAGCCACUCGAAGAAGCUGAUGCUCGGGGAUGGGUCUGCGUCCUAUCAGCUAGUUGGUAGGUAAUGGCCUACCAAGGCGACGACGGGUAGCUGGUCUGAGAGGAUGAUCAGCCACACUGGCACUGGAACACGGGCCAGACUCCUACGGGUGGCAG
Molecule: ribosomal RNA, 339 nt
Filed under: uncultured Pseudomonadota bacterium
Lineage: Bacteria; Pseudomonadati; Pseudomonadota
Description: bacterial SSU rRNA
Rfam family: Bacterial small subunit ribosomal RNA
Source: RNAcentral